This 97-nucleotide microRNA precursor is filed under the name Lotus japonicus. Its description in RNAcentral is "miR11085 stem-loop (lja-MIR11085)". The record is from miRBase by way of RNAcentral. Lineage: Eukaryota; Viridiplantae; Streptophyta; Magnoliopsida; Fabales; Fabaceae.
CAAGUUGCUUAGUUGUAUCAAAUAUGAAGAUGCAAUAACCUAAAUUGUGAAAUAUUAGCUUAUUGCAUUUCAUCUUUGAUACAUUCUUGCAUACUUG